RNAcentral lists this non-coding RNA (25 nucleotides) under Mus musculus (house mouse). Lineage: Eukaryota; Metazoa; Chordata; Mammalia; Rodentia; Muridae. The record is from RNAcentral.
UCAACUCCGAGUCGACCAGAAAUAC